AGUAGUUUCAUCCUCUUUUAUAUUUACUAUGUUUUAUGGUUCUAUAAAUGGAAUGUUAAUUUGAUUGUGAAUGAGGAAGCCACAAAUAAUGAUCUUUGUUUAGUUUUAUAUUGGAUAUACUCUUCAAUUUUUCUUUUUUACCUUUUGUUUUGAUUUCAAGUAUUUUUUAUUCUGCAUUCUGUUUUGAUGUUAUUAUAUUUGCAUUUAUGGUUCUUUAUUACUUUUGAUCAAAUUAUAUGCAUAUGGUUCAUAAAUGAAGACUACACUAGGUGUUGUUUUUUUAUCUCAAUAUGAAAUCAAUUGGUUGAUUGCAUGAUAGUGUAAUGACAUAAGAAGUUACAAACUUGAUAUAGAAGACUCUGAGGUCCGCAAAAGGAAUGAGUCACCAACUUAGUCACCUUAGAUAAGAAUCUAGAAAAAAUUUCUGUUAGAAUAUGAGUCAUUGUUUUAUGCCUGUUAUCUUAAGAAACAUUCAUAUCAUCUCAUGUACACCUUAUGAAAAAUGGAACGAAGGGGUAAAAUGUUGAAGAAAUUAGUUAAUGCUAGGACGAAUCUUUAGUCUUUCAAGUUUCAACCACUAUUUUUAUGUGUCUAAGCUCAAUUCUCAUUCCCCUGAUUUUCAAUGCAUUCAGUUUACAUCAAAUAGUUUACAUCAGUUUACAUUAGAUAAUCUUUAGAUGUAUUUAUGCAAAUUCCAUUUUAUUAUCCCUAUCUAAAAUGUUGUAUGGCAUCGAUCUACAUGUUUCCUUCGGGGUUUCCUUAUAUGCUUAACCCCCAAAUUGUGGAUGUUUGUCUUUGAACGAAUAUCUUAUUAAUAUUAACUCAUGUGGCAAUGUGUCACUGCAAAUGAAUGAAGCAGAGAACAAGUACACAAAGUUAUAUUAAUUCACGCAUGCGUAUUAAUAGCUAUGAACUGAUAUGGAAGAUUCAAAGUUUCAUGGUGAGGAUAUCCAACGGGUGUUAGUAUAUAGAUUGAUUACUAUGACCCAUUUACAGAUGAUUGGGUCUGAUCAGUUUACUCUCUUGCAAAGUUCAAGUGAUGCACUCUCUUUCACUCAUUAAUUCCAAUUAAUAUUUGCAUAAGGAUCUCUACACAAUUUAAAGAAAUGACAUCUGAAAUAUAUUCUUAUUAAUUUAUAGGAUAUGCCCCUGUUGUGUUGAUAAAAAUCCAUAUUUUUUUUCUUUCUUUCUUUUAUCCAUUAUGGACUUGCAAAUUUGAAGGUGGUGUAAAUCUGAAUAUUUGAGUACCAUUACUUUACCUUUUUCUUUCUUUGUUCUUUCCUUUUUCCAGUUUAAUUAUGCUUAAAAGACCAUUAACUCUAUUGAGUACCAUUACUUUAUGUUUUUUUUAUAUCUCAUUCUUUAUUCAUUUUCAUAUUCGUUAUUUUACAGGACUUUCGGAACAUAUUUUUUCUGCAGUGAUGUUGCUAUUCAACCAACAACCACGAUAAAAAAGGGCAAUAACCAUUCGGACCAUGGAUUCAAAUUGUGGUCCGUGUCCGCAAUUGUGCCGCAAUAUUGCUGAUGGUAGCCUUUACAGCUGCAUCGCACUGCAAUUGCAGCGUGAUUUUCAAUCCUGUGUGCGGCCACAUCAAGAACUGCAUCAGACGAUUUCAACUAUAUUUGUUCAAAUUUUCUCACAAAAAUUCAAAAUUUAGUACUCAAAUUUCAAUCAACUUUAGAUCUAAUGAAAAAAUUUACAUUUAACGGUUUCUCAAUUUUGUAUUUCUAGCACCUUUCAAUUAGUAUUUACGAAGUAAACUAAAAUUGUGCUAUAUAUGGUGAGGAAAUAGUGUAUUAUCACACUGGUGCAGUGGUGCUACUUAGAGUAAUUUGUGGAAAUAUAAAAUUAUUUCAUACUGCUUA
Molecule: long non-coding RNA, 1866 nt
Organism: Trifolium pratense (red clover)
Lineage: Eukaryota; Viridiplantae; Streptophyta; Magnoliopsida; Fabales; Fabaceae
Exons: 2
Source: RefSeq, a predicted model, not a curated record